CUCAUGUGCGGAUAACAGGUUCAAGUUCUGACAGAUGAAUCAAGAAAGUUGGGCUCUAGUAUUCGCCAGGUAUGGUCAUUGGCAAAGGAUACUGGAAAGAAGGUAGAAGCUCUAUAUGCAGAUAUUGAAAAGGUUCAAAUUGUAAGUGAUAUGUCAAGAAAGAUGGAGUCUAAUAUGCAUAAAAUGUGGUCUUAUGCAAAGAAGACAGAGAAGAUGGUUGAAGACCUAUAUUCAGAUGUCAAGCAGGGCUUCGAGAAGAAUGGGCCGAAAAUUCCUUUCUGGACGAACUGACAAUGUCAUCGCCUCAUCGACUUUAUGGACUACCAUCGGUCUGGGCAUGGAGUAAUAUAGACGAGCAAAGGGGCGUUGUUUCAGCGAAUAUGUAACGAAUCCCUUAGAUGUUGUAGGAGACAGCUUAUCUUGUUGAUUCACAUGGGGAUGCAGCGAGAUGCAGUCUCAAGUACGAAUGUAGGAUGUAUAUGUCAUGUACUACGCUUGAGGUCGUCGUUUGUUCCCGAGGUGUGAAUCAAUAUACUUAAGGUUGUCAAAUGAGUAGUGUAAAUAGCAGUUUAUAAAUGUUAUUUCCAGGUUUGUUGUGAAACAUGGUCGAUCAAGGAAGGGGAGAUCUCUAGGCUCUCUGGAAUAAUUUCAGAUUCGAAAUUGGAUGGCCACGUGACUAGGAUUAAGUGUUAGCCAUAAUUGGGAAUCAACAUGAUGAGUUUGAGGUCUGAGUUAU
This is a long non-coding RNA of Lolium rigidum, 736 nucleotides long. RefSeq lists it as uncharacterized. NCBI's taxonomy places the organism in Eukaryota, Viridiplantae, Streptophyta, Magnoliopsida, Poales, Poaceae. The transcript is spliced from 3 exons. The record is from RefSeq and is a predicted model, not a curated record.